Molecule: long non-coding RNA, 3071 nt
Filed under: Salmo salar (Atlantic salmon)
Lineage: Eukaryota; Metazoa; Chordata; Actinopteri; Salmoniformes; Salmonidae
Description: lncRNA (ENSSSAG00000112953.1)
Source: RNAcentral
CAUCCAGGACAUCUACUCGAAAAGGUGCCUGAGAAAGGUGUGCAGCAUCAUCAAAGACCUCACAUACUCCAGCCACGAGCUGUUCUCUCCCUUACUGUCGGGCAGACAGUAUCGGAGCAUGAGGUCUGAUAGAAACUAUAUCUAUAAGCCAUCAGACUGCUGAACACAUGAACUGGACUGACAACCUGCUCUGAUUCUCGGUACUUUAGCACACAUGCACUCCAGUGGUGGUCGGUGCCAUUUAAGAUGAGGACUGUGCGGACCUUGUGUUGAAGGUGCUGAGCUCCUUUAAGAGUAGUAUAAUAGAGCAUGUGGUCCAAUCUCUGGAUAAGGACAGAGUGGACCUGCUCAUGAAGUACAUCUACAAAGACCUUGAGACGCCAUCGGAUAACAGCAGUGCCGUCCUGCUACAUUGACAAGAAAAGGACCUUGAGGGUGGCUGAGGUGUACCCAUGACAAGCUUGGAAACCAGACUGUAUAGCGGAGAAGGUACGGUGGGAUACGAAAUGGCUCUAUCUGCAGGUGGAGUGGAAUGCAUCUUCAGAGUACUAACAGCCAGAAAGACUGUCUAACUUACAAAUGAGGAAAGGAUCCAUGUUCUUCACAGCAACUGUCUGGUACACAUCACAACACAAGGAUGAUAUGUGUAUUAUACAGUAGAUCACAGGAUGCCACAUGGGAGACCUGUCUGUUUGUAGUCAGAUCUCACUUCCCACUGUCUUCCUGUACCUAUACAGAUACAAAAUGACAAACUUUUUCGCACAUUCACCCAAACACAUAAGACACACCAAAUUGGCAUGGUAUUUACUCCAUUGUCUUCCCUCCCUAGACCCUCAAAUACACACACAAACAAUGCUACAGCACGCUUUUAGGUCUGGCUUUGUUUCUUUCUGAAAAAAUCUCUGAUUAUUGUCAGCUCAUUUGUUUACCGUAAUACUAUUUUCAUUAAAGCUCUGUUAGUCCGUUGUCUUUGCUAAAAAGCUGAUCAGUGAAUUCCAGAUCGAACAAAAGCCUAUAAUUCCCCUCCAAAAUCCCUAAUUAAGUGGGAGGCUCCUGAAAAGCACAGCCACAGAUAGAGCGUUUGCUCCUACAAGGUGGGAUCCAGCCAUCCUGCCUGCCCUAGUUAGGGAUUAUUACCCACAAUGUAUAACUACUACUCCUACUACUAAAUAAUCCUAGGCUGUGUUCCAGUAAACACACUAGCCUACCACAAAUGUAAUGGUCAUGCAUUCUAAGUGGUAUGCUACUAUGGGUGUAGUGAGAUGUAGCCCUAUUCUCACUGAAUCACUAACUCACUCGCACCUACACAGCAUUAUCAUGUCAGGUUUUGUGUUAUACUGUUUUAUAAGGGAGGCAUUUGUUGAACUUUCAGGAAAUUAGACCUAUUCAUUUUUGUAUUAUUUUUAUUUGGACUACCAGAGAAAUUGACUCAGAUUUAUUCUUUGCUCUGUGUUGCCAUUGAUUCUCUCACUCACACAUUCCCUCACCAGAGUCCUAACUUACCUUUUUGUAUACCAUCACUGCUAGACAAUCACUGUGUAUCUUUCUUGCACUAUUUAACCUGUGCAAUUGUUUGUUUAAUUGUAAUGCUUUUCUAUUGUUAUUUUUAAACAGCUCUCUUUGGGCGUCUUCCUGUUAAUUGGUCAGUACUUCAAAAAAAGCCAUUGAAUUAUCAAUACAUAUUGCAUUAAAUAGGAGUUGAGCUUACUCCUUUUUUAAAGGCCAUGUAUUUGGAAUAUGAUCCCAGGGAAUGUGUUCAGUUAAAAAUGCUAUCAUACAUUAUGUAGGACAGUAUUUUGUGGUGCACAACCAAACACUUUCCCUGGGUUUUGUGUCAUUCGCGGUGGGACCCAGGACAUUUACAAAAAGUUAAUUGAUGCAAGGUUUUAAAUGAUUAUUUUUCUAUUAUUUAUGUUCAAAUCAGUGUCUUUUGUUCAUUCCUCUCAAGCACUUAUUGUUUGAGGACCACUAUCAGUAUUAUGUCUUCGUCUCCAAAGGGACUGUGAGUCCCAAAUGGCACCCUAAAUACAACUGAACAUACCAAACUGGUGUACAAACUGCCUUACUUGAUAACAAUACAAAAAAUGGUUUGUGCUUUGUGAUGAAAUAAUAUAAUUGAUAUGAAAACAGAUUUGAAGUUAUGAGUUAUUGUACUUGAAAAGUACUUGUGGUGCAGUUGGUAUAAUUAUUCACAGAAGCACAUUACCUUUAUCUUGAUUGUAUGUCUGUUCAUUUAUGUUUAAAACAUUUUUUAAUACAGUAUAGAAAUACAUAAGAAAAAACAUUUAUAUACAAAACAUAACAAUAGAAUACAUCUUGGCACUGUAACCGACUAUGGAUGAACUGGUUAAAAAAAGUUACAUGAACCUUUAAUGAUGGGGUUGUAUUGACUAUAAUGUAGUACUGCAAAUAAUAAAUACUGAUCCUAUCUGACACUGAUAAUGAAGGAUGGAGUGUAUUGUGUAUCCUGGGGAGGAGGAGUGAUUACUUGAGGUGGGUUAUACUGACAGACAGCCAAACUUCUCUUGCCAACUAGUCUCUACAAGCACCAUUUCUGACCAAUCAAAUGGACAGCUCAGUUAUCCGGUCUGAUGUCACAACAUUCUGUGACCAACUAGACGAGAGUUGAGCAAAGGAGGGAACUGACCCUUUUUUUCGUAUUAAAGUACUUCCCAAUAACUUAAUAGGUAGAUGUAAAUAAAGGCUAGCUAGUGUUUCUUGUCUCCACCACAUUGAGCCUGCGGGAGGGAGCCUACAUUCUGGGCCAACGGUGGACUCAUCAUCGUCCCUGGAGAAUAAGUCCGGGUCAUCUCUAAAUAUCACUACACCUUGUGGGUGGGAGAGAGGAGGGCAGGGUAAAGUACAAGAAGAGGGUAAAACAAUUCAUUCAGGGAACCAAAAAAUCCUUUAGCAUGGGAGAGUACAAUAUUCUUUUUAGGAUAUCUGGCCAAUUAAUGUGUUUACGUCCAUCCAAGAGGAGCUUGCUCAUGUGUAAACUCUGUUGUGCACCAGGGGCGAGUGUUGAACUUUCCUAAUCUGCCUCCUGGGGUUUGCUGUUCUGUUCUCCGGUC